GAACAUUGCCCUGACCUAGAAUUGCUACUUAGAAUUCGGACUAAACCAACACGCUGGGACGGGCGGGGGAAACAGUAGGAAAUCUUGGCUAUAAUGUAGUAGGACGGACCGCUGGAAGCUCAGGCGAAGGGGGCGACACAUUGCUCUUUAAUAUCGUUGGACGAAUAAUGUUGCUAUUUGAUUACUACAAUCAGGCUAUAGAACGUAGCCUACUACACGAAGCAGGCCCGAGGAAUCAUUCCAGGUUUUGGGGUCACACACGCUUCUCUUCCUGGUGCAGUGAUGGCCACAUCAUGACCCUGAUGGACAUGAGUGCCCAAGGGCUGUGAGAGCCCCUUGGGGAAACUUCAGGCACAAACACACUCUCUUCCUCAUACAGAAGCACUCUCUCACUCACACACACACACACUUAUUAAAACAAAAACACACACAGAGCAUGUUGGAGGUCCAGGAGGAGAGGCCUGCCGCGGCAGGAGGGACGGCAGCGACACAUUUCAGCAAGAAAGAGCGAGGAAAGAAAGAACGAGAGGAGGCCAAGGACGGCCGGGGGAAUCUUGGGAAUAUCGGGAACAGUGCUCUGGGUUCGGGUGGCCGAGGGAACGGCAGGGGGAAAGCCCCUCACACACACACAGGCAGCCCCCACCAGCUCAUCACCCCACCCUGCUCUGUGGUGCUGGGAGCCCCCUCCAUUCAUCACAACAGACUGAAGAACUCCCCAUCCAACACACAGAGGUGAGGGAGAGCAAGUGUACUGUGUGUGUGU
Long non-coding RNA from Oncorhynchus gorbuscha (pink salmon), 763 nucleotides. RefSeq lists it as uncharacterized. The transcript has 3 exons. The record is from RefSeq and is a predicted model, not a curated record. NCBI's taxonomy places the organism in Eukaryota, Metazoa, Chordata, Actinopteri, Salmoniformes, Salmonidae.